GAUGAAGAACGUAGCGAAAUGCGAUAAGUAAUGUGAAUUGCAGAAUUCAGUGAAUCAUCGAAUCUUUGAACGCACAUUGCGCCCGCCAGUAUUCUGGCGGGCAUGCCUGUCUGAGCGUCAUUUCAACCCUCAUGCCCCUAGGGCGUGGUGUUGGGGAUCGGCCAAAGCCCGCGAGGGACGGCCGGCCCCUAAAUCUAGUGGCGGACCCGUCGUGGCCUCCUCUGCGUAGUAGCACACCUCGCACUGGGAAACAGCGCGGCCACGCCGUUAAACCCCCAACUUCUGAACGUUUGACCUCGGAUCAGGUAGGAAUACCCGCUGAACUUAAGCAUAUCAAUAAGCGGAGGA
This 348-nucleotide unclassified non-coding RNA is filed under the name soil metagenome. RNAcentral's name for it is "partial contains 5.8S ribosomal RNA, internal transcribed spacer 2, and large subunit ribosomal RNA". The stretch from base 1 to 120 matches the Rfam family "5.8S ribosomal RNA", at positions 35 to 154 of the family's 154-position model. The record is from RNAcentral.